Molecule: ribosomal RNA, 468 nt
Filed under: uncultured bacterium
Lineage: Bacteria
Description: partial 16S ribosomal RNA
Rfam family: Bacterial small subunit ribosomal RNA
Source: RNAcentral
GACGAACGGUGGCGGCGAGCUUAACACAUGCAAGUCGAACGGAAAGGCCGUGCUAUUGUGGGGUGCUCGAGUGGCGAACGGGUGCUUAACACGUGAGUAACCUGCAGUUGACUUUGGGGUAACUUCAGGAAACUGGGGCUAAUACCGGAUAGGAGCUCCUGCUGCAUGGUGGGAGUUGGAACGUUUCGGCGGUUGGGGAUGGACUCGCGGCUUAUCAGCUUGUUGGUGGGGUAGUGGCUUACCAAGGCUUUGACGGGUAGCCGGCCUGAGAGGGUGACCGGCCACAUUGGGACUGAGAUACGGCCCAGACUCCUACGGGAGGCAGCAGUGGGGAAUAUUGCACAAUGGGCGGAAGCCUGAGGCAGCAACGCCGCGUGCGGGAUGACGGCCUUCGGGUUGUAAACCGCUUUCGCCUGUGACGAAGCGUGAGUGACGGUAAUGGGUAAAGAAGCACCGGCUAACUACGUG